RNAcentral lists this ribosomal RNA (253 nucleotides) under uncultured bacterium. RNAcentral describes it as "partial 16S ribosomal RNA". It matches the Rfam family "Bacterial small subunit ribosomal RNA", at positions 524 to 776 of the family's 1533-position model. The record is from RNAcentral.
UACAGAGGUCUCAAGCGUUGUUCGGAUUCAUUGGGCGUAAAGGGUGCGCAGGCGGCCGGGUGUGUCAGAUGUGAAAUCCCGAGGCUCAACCUCGGAACUGCGUCUGAAACUAUUCGGCUAGAGUACUGGAGAGGGUAACGGAAUUCACGGUGUAGCAGUGAAAUGCGUAGAUAUCGCGAGGAACACCAGAGGCGAAGGCGGUUACCUGGACAGUUACUGACGCUCAGGCACGAAAGCAUGGGGAGCAAAAGGG